AUUGAACGCUGGCGGCAUGCUUUACACAUGCAAGUCGAACGGUAACAGGCCUUCGGGUGCUGACGAGUGGCGAACGGGUGAGUAAUGCAUCGGAACGUGCCCAGAGGUGGGGGAUAACGCAGCGAAAGCUGUGCUAAUACCGCAUGUGAUCUGAGGAUGAAAGCGGGGGACCAAGCAGCAAUGUUUGGCCUCGCGCCUCUGGAGCGGCCGAUGUCAGAUUAGGUAGUUGGUGGGGGAAAGGCCUACCAAGCCGACGAUCUGUAGCUGGUCUGAGGGGACGACCAGCCCCACCGGGACUGAGACCCGGCCCAGAAUCCUACGGGAGGCAGCAGUGGGGAAUGUUGGACAAUGGGCGCAAGCCUGAUCCAGCAAUGCCGCGUGCGGGAAGAAGGCCUUCGGGUUGUAAACCGCUUUUGUACGGAACGAAAAGGCUCUGGCUAAUACCUGGGGCUGAUGACGGUACCGUAAGAAUAAGCACCGGCUAACUACGUG
Molecule: ribosomal RNA, 492 nt
Filed under: uncultured bacterium
Lineage: Bacteria
Description: partial 16S ribosomal RNA
Rfam family: Bacterial small subunit ribosomal RNA
Source: RNAcentral